UCCGAGUUGACCCCGGCAGUCUCCUGUGAGUCCCCGCCAUAACGCGCUGGCAACACAGAACGAGGGUUGCGCUCGUUGCGGGACUUAACCCAACAUCUCACGACACGAGCUGACGACAACCAUGCACCACCUGCACGCAGACCCGAAGGCACAGCCAUCUCUGACUGCUUCCUGCGCAUGUCAAGCCUUGGUAAGGUUCUUCGCGUUGCAUCGAAUUAAGCCACAUGCUCCGCCGCUUGUGCGGGCCCCCGUCAAUUCCUUUGAGUUUUAGCCUUGCGGCCGUACUCCCCAGGCGGGGAACUUAAUGCGUUAGCUGCGGCGCAGAGAACGUGGAAUGCUCCCCACACCUAGUUCCCACCGUUUACAGCGUGGACUAC
This 377-nucleotide unclassified non-coding RNA is filed under the name uncultured Actinomycetes bacterium. RNAcentral describes it as "uncultured actinobacterium contains 16S-23S intergenic spacer region". Lineage: Bacteria; Bacillati; Actinomycetota; Actinomycetes. The record is from RNAcentral.